RNAcentral lists this ribosomal RNA (292 nucleotides) under uncultured bacterium. Its description in RNAcentral is "partial 16S ribosomal RNA". It matches the Rfam family "Bacterial small subunit ribosomal RNA", at positions 505 to 796 of the family's 1533-position model. The record is from RNAcentral.
GUGUCAGCCGCCGCGGUAAUACGUAGGCAGCGAGCGUUGUUCGGAGUUACUGGGCGUAAAGGGUGUGUAGGCGGUUGUUUAAGUUUGGUGUGAAAUCUCCCGGCUCAACUGGGAGGGUGCGCCGAAUACUGAAUGACUAGAGUGCGGGAGAGGUGAGUGGAAUUCCUGGUGUAGCGGUGAAAUGCGUAGAUAUCAGGAGGAACACCGGUGGUGUAGACGGCUCACUGGACCGUAACUGACGCUGAGACACGAAAGCGUGGGUAGCAAACAGGAUUAGAUACCCGCGUAGUCC